Molecule: long non-coding RNA, 491 nt
Organism: Oncorhynchus masou masou (cherry salmon)
Lineage: Eukaryota; Metazoa; Chordata; Actinopteri; Salmoniformes; Salmonidae
Exons: 3
Source: RefSeq, a predicted model, not a curated record
AUACAGACAGACCCGGUAGGUAGGCAGGCAGAUACGGACAGACCCGGUAGGUAGGCAGGCAGAUACGGACAGACCCGGUAGGUAGGCAGGCAGAUACAGACAGACCCGGUAGGUUGGUAGGUAGGCAGGCAGAUACAGACAGACCCGGUAGGUUGGUAGGUAGGCAGGCAGAUACAGACAGACCCGGUAGGUUGGUAGGUUGGCAGGCAGAUACAGACAGACCCGGUAGGUUGGUAGGUAGGCAGGCAGAUACAGACAGACCCGGUAGGUUGGUAGGUAGGCAGGCAGAUACAGACAGACCCGGUAGGUUGGUAGGUAGGCAGGCAGAUACAGACAGACCCGGUAGGUUGGUAGGUAGGCAGGCAGAUACAGACAGACCCGGUAGGUUGGUAGGUAGGCAGGCAGAUACAGACAGACCCGGUAGGUUGGUAGGUUGGCAGGCAGAUACAGACAGACCCGGUAGGUUGGUAGGUAGGCAGGCAGAUACAGAC